CAAUCUGUGGUUCUUGCUACAACUAAGACCAAGAAACAGAACAAACCUGUGGCUUUGCUUCAUAAGUCUGUCAUGAAGAAGGAGUUCCGCCGGAUGGCCAAGGCUGUGAAAAAUCAGGUUGGGGAUAACUAUUACAGACCUGAUUUAAAGAAUGCAGCUCUUGCAAGGUUAAGUGUUGUGCAUAGGAGUCUGAAGGUUGCUAAAUCUGGUGUCAAGAAGAGAAAUAGACAAGCUCAAAAGACCAGUGCUAGGAAGUGAAUAGUGAGUUGAGAAGGAAAGAUAUUCUCUGUUACUUCUCAACUUUAAUUGACAAGUGGAAAAUUCCCGAAUCCUGUUUUUGUUUUGUUUGUAGGUUGAUUUAUGUUAGAUGCUGAACUAUAGGGCUUGUUAUUUUUCCUGGUUAAUUUUGUGUUGUGAUAUUUUAUAU
This 427-nucleotide unclassified non-coding RNA is filed under the name Hevea brasiliensis (rubber tree). The record is from RNAcentral. Lineage: Eukaryota; Viridiplantae; Streptophyta; Magnoliopsida; Malpighiales; Euphorbiaceae.